RNAcentral lists this long non-coding RNA (1107 nucleotides) under Gadus morhua (Atlantic cod). RNAcentral describes it as "lncRNA (ENSGMOG00000023567.1)". The record is from RNAcentral. Lineage: Eukaryota; Metazoa; Chordata; Actinopteri; Gadiformes; Gadidae.
AUGCCAAUGUGGUUAUGUGCCGAUAUCAAUGAACUGACUGAUGUUGUCACCAGCUGGUCUGUGUACUCUGAGAAUAUCAUUAUCCCAGUGAAAACAAUCAAAGUUUAUCCUAAUUCCAAACCAUGGAUAACAAAGUCCCUUAGACCUCUUCUUCAAAUGAAGAACAAAGCCUUUAAAGAGGGUAAUUCAGUAGAACUGAGACGUCUGCAAAAAGAAAUUAAAAGAGAGGUCUGGGCUGGCAAAAAGACCUAUAAAGAUAAAAUUGAGAGCCAACUUAAAGCUAAUAAUCUUGGCUCUGUCUGGGACGGCAUGAAAACCAUCACUGGGCUGAAAGAGAAAAGAAAAAAGGUUUCUUUAGCCAAUUACACCAGUGACUUGCACCUUGCACAGAGCCUCAACAAUUUUUAUGUCAGAUACGAAACGCACGAUUUUAGCGAGGAACACUCGGUGAUCAAAAAUAGACAUCUGUCCGCCCCCCCCUCUAAACCCUUUUUUAUGGAACAGGAUGUGAUCAAUUGCUUCAAAAAAUGCAACCCCCGUAAAGGCCCAGGCCCCGAUCACAUCGGCGGCCGUUUAUUAAAUACCUGUGCGGAUCAAUUGGGUCCCAUUUUUAAUUUGAUUUUUAACAGAUCUCUCAGACUGCAGAUAGUACCCUCCCUCUGGAAACAGUCUACCAUAGUACCCAUUGGCAAGCGCAUUAAUCCAAAAACACUUAGCGAUUUCAGACCCGUAGCCCUUACUUCCCUGGUUAUGAAGCAAUUUGAGAAACUUGUCAAAUCAGAGCUUGUGGAAAAAACAAAGAGCCUUCUUGACCCUUUUCAAUUUGCUUAUAGGGAGGGAAGAGGUGUCCAGGAUGCUACUGCUACUCUUUUAAAUCUGCUUUUUAAACACCUUGAGGGCAGUAAGAAGCACGCCAGGCUACUUUUUGUCGAUUUCUCCUCGGCUUUUAACACGAUCCAGCCCCAUGUUCUUAUUGACAAGCUAGUUAACACCUUUAGCCUAGACCCAUGUUUAGUAGGUUGGAUACUGGAUUUUUUAACUAACAGAUCCCAAUGUAAAUGUACUUGUUGUGUUGUAGGAAGUACCAAUGUACUUCCUACAACUUAA